RNAcentral lists this ribosomal RNA (253 nucleotides) under uncultured bacterium. RNAcentral describes it as "partial 16S ribosomal RNA". It matches the Rfam family "Bacterial small subunit ribosomal RNA", at positions 524 to 776 of the family's 1533-position model. The record is from RNAcentral.
UACGUAGGGGGCAAGCGUUGUCCGGAAUUACUGGGCGUAAAGGGUCUGUAGGUGGCCAACUAAGUCAGACGUGAAAUCCCUCAGCUUAACUGGGGAACCGCGUCUGAUACUGGAUGGCUUGAGUGCAGGAGAGGAAUGCGGAAUUCCAGGUGUAGCGGUGAAAUGCGUAGAUAUCUGGAGGAACACCGGUGGCGAAGGCGGCAUUCUGGACUGUAACUGACACUGAGAGACGAAAGCCAGGGGAGCAAACGGG